AUUGAACGCUGGCGGCAUGCCUUACACAUGCAAGUCGAACGGCAGCACGGUAACAGGUUCCUACUAGGGGUGGCCGGUGGCGUACGGGUUAGGAAUGAACCGGUACCUACUUGUUCGCUAGGGAUAAGAUAGGCUAAUUUACGCUACUACCGAAUAAGGCAUGCGGGUGAAAGCAGGGCCUCUCCGGACCUUGCGGGAUGGAGUGAGCCGAUGUCGGAUUAGCUAGUUGGUGGGGUAAAGGCCCACCAAGGCGACGAUCCGUAGCUGGUCUGAGAGGACGACCAGCCACACUGGGACUGAGACACGGCCCAGACUCCUACGGGAGGCAGCAGUGGGGAAUUUUGGACAAUGGGCGCAAGCCUGAUCCAGCAAUGCCGCGUGUGUGAAGAAGGCCUUCGGGUUGUAAAGCGCUUUUGUUCGGAAAGAAAAGCAUCGGGUUAAUACCCGGGGGUUAUGACGGUACCGUAAGAAUAAGCACCGGCUAACUACGUG
Molecule: ribosomal RNA, 492 nt
Filed under: uncultured bacterium
Lineage: Bacteria
Description: partial 16S ribosomal RNA
Rfam family: Bacterial small subunit ribosomal RNA
Source: RNAcentral